Small nuclear RNA from Bufo bufo (common toad), 195 nucleotides. RefSeq annotates it as U2 spliceosomal RNA. The record is from RefSeq and is a predicted model, not a curated record. Lineage: Eukaryota; Metazoa; Chordata; Amphibia; Anura; Bufonidae. The transcript has a single exon.
ACGACUGAUUGUAAUAAAGGUGUUUCAAUAAAAAAAAAAAUCUGUUCUUAUCAGUUUAAUAUCUGAUACAUCCCCUAUCUGGGGACCAUAUAUUAAAUGGAUUUUUCGAACAGGGAGAUGGAAAAAGAGCUUGCUCUGUCCACUUCACGCAUUGACCUGGUAUUGCAGUCUCCUCACACCCUAAAUCCAAUUAAG